This is a long non-coding RNA of Canis lupus familiaris (dog), 1532 nucleotides long. RefSeq lists it as uncharacterized. The transcript has 3 exons. The record is from RefSeq and is a predicted model, not a curated record. Lineage: Eukaryota; Metazoa; Chordata; Mammalia; Carnivora; Canidae.
UUGUGUUGUACCCGAGUUCCCUCCUGGAGCCUAAAGUUCUUUUCCUGGGAUUCUCGACCCAGUCUGCAGCACAGUCACACUAUAGAGCCGGGGAGGGCUGAGCUGUCCAGGGAGACGCACGUGAAAACCAAAAGGACCCCACACUCCCACCCAGAUGUGCAGAAGAGUCUAAGGGAGGGAUCUGACUGUAUCCUCGUGGAUGAGAAAGACCGCUCACCUGAACGUGGAGGGAGAGAUGCGCAUUCUUUAGGUCUGCAGUUAGCCAGGCCAGCUCGCAUGUGCAUUUCAGGGAAGGGCCUAGCUCUGUGGACACCUUGCCCAAUUCAGAAGAAGGGAUCAUGACUGGGGAGCUCUUAACACCACACUGCUUUGCAGGAGGGUUGGGAAGGGGUGAUGGGUCUGAGAUCUAUGAACACAAAUCAAUCACCAAAUGAAUAGCCCAUGAGAAUAAGAAUAACAACAGCCAUAAAGGCAGGAGGCCUGGGAUAUGAAUUCUUUUGUUUGUCCCUCAGACACAGCCUAUGACGUCACAGAACACGUUCCCUUGUGGAAUCUGCCCUAUUUAAAUUUCUGAAUUCUCUGUUGAUGAAAAUACCAAAGGGCAGAAUUUUUAAAAUAUACCUUGUAGGGAGCCUAUAACUGAGUACAAAUUUUCUACACCUUGUGCUCACAGUGUGCCGGGAAUUAUUUUAAGUGCUUAAAAACAUUAUCCUACUUAUUCAUUCGUCUGACAUAGGUGUUAGAUCCACUUUAUAGAUGGGAAAACAGAAACUUCUACAGGCAAAGAAACUUCACACAGCAAACAUGCUACAGAGCUCCUGCUCUUUUAAUUGCCCCCAGCUCAGUUAGGAGAGUGAACUGGUCAUUUCCAUCUGCUCUUUCAGAAGGCACUGUGUGUCCUGAUGAUUAUGGGUCCCAGCACGUGCACAGGCCACCCAUCACCUAUCUCAGGCCAAACUGUUUUCUCACUUGACCAUGAUUCCUGCCCUCCAUUAUACAUCUGGCUGUUCCAUCGGAUAAGCACAUCGGCGUAGCAAGUUGGAACCUAACUAGGAACCAAAAGACAAUGUGCAGAGCAUCUCCACGGCUUACUUUACUAGAGAGAACUGGAUAGCUGGAGGACUUGAGCUCUGCCAAGCUGGUGUCUCCUACUAUGCCCACCCCCCACCCCCGGCCAAGAGUCAAGCUAUAAUAUCUAAGGGUCUGUCAGAAUCAUGGAAAGUUGCUGCCUCUGGAGGAGAUCAUAAAGACCUCCAGUCUAUCACCUUAAUCUUGAGCAUGGCAAGGCUCACAGAAGGGCAUUUUCCAGGUCCGAGGCCAGUCAUGGUGGAGCCAAGAGGAUCACUGAGUGAGCCAAUCCUUCCUUGUUCCCAUUCCCAUUACUCCACAACCGCGACCUCUCAGAGUGGAGGAGGGCUGGUCUCUGCCCAUGUCUUCCUUUCUCUCCUUCCUUCCUACCUACUGUCUUCCUUCCUUUCUUUAGGGGGAGGAAGGGCUUGGAGUAUAUUAAAGAAAAGAAGAAAUACAAAACU